RNAcentral lists this long non-coding RNA (1265 nucleotides) under Betta splendens (Siamese fighting fish). Its description in RNAcentral is "lncRNA (ENSBSLG00000019110.1)". The record is from RNAcentral. Lineage: Eukaryota; Metazoa; Chordata; Actinopteri; Anabantiformes; Osphronemidae.
UUUUAGACAUGGAUUUCAAGGAAAGCGUCACUAAGGAAGAAGGAAGGAACGUGGCUCAUGCAGCUCCAGGAAAAGAAACGCAAACUAAACAGACCUUUUCCGACCAUAAACCUUUAUCUGCCAAUUCGAAGAUGAUUUGUGACCAAAAGACCAGCCUCCAGCCUCCAUGGAACUCCUUUGACUAUUUUACUAAUUUUAAAGUUGAGAUUGUGAACAGUUGUGCUCAAAAAAGGAAAUUGGAGCUUUCCAGUUGUGACGACGGUUAUGAGACCCCGUCCAAAAAGGUCUCGUUGGACUCAAACGUGGAUGAUGUCUCGUGCCUCAGUCCUAUUAGCACUAAUGCCGAUACUGCCGUCAAAGGCUCUGAUGCAGUAAUUAGCUGCCAAAAUAAACCUGGACAAAAACUGAAAGAAACACAUCCACAGAUGGAAAAGCAAGAAAAGAUGAAGGAAAACACAAAUGUGGACGAGAAAGAGGACAAAGGUCAUUUCUCUGUGAGCUGCACAGGUCAACUACCUACAGAACAGCAAGAAUCUACCACUGAUAGUGGUUUAUAUUGUAAUGGUUCUGUGCUGGUGUUAGAUUCUUGGGACUUACAUGUAGGGGGUUUUGAAGAGGUUCAGAGCAUCUCACACAUUGGUCCCCCAAUAUUUGAAUCCACAAUGUGUUGCGGUGAUUCUGGAGAGUUGUCAUUUAAGGAACUUCCUAGAGCUAGUACUGAUUUCAUUGACAGUCAUCAUGAUGCUCAGGAAGAUGAUGUUGGGGACACCAGUACUGAAGCUACCUUGCCUUUAAACGUUAAGGUAAAAUCAGUUGUAGUGGUGCCCAACCCUCAGACUACCUGCUUUAAAGCAGAUCCGACUGUACUGGACCAGAACCAUGUCAACCUAAGCACAGGGGAGAAAGUAUUCGAAAGUGCUGCCAGUAAACACAGGAGUCAAAGGGAUGCAGUUGUGAAAGAAGAGUUGACCUGGGAGCAGCAGAAAAAUCAAUAUGUUAAUCUGGUCACCAAACAUAUCAAUGGAAAAACAGAAAAUCAGGAUGUGAUGACUGAGCUGCUCAGCCUCAUGACCCAGGUUGCGGACCAGGCACCAGUUGGUGACACAGCUUGGCAGCAUCCCUCCAAUCUCACCAGAAGGAAUUACCAGAGGCUCUUUGGAUUCCCAACCCCCAAAAUGUCCCUCCAGGACUGGCACACUAAAAACGGUGCACACAAGCGCUUUGCAGCAAUCCCUAGUGUCUUCAAACGAAGUCCGUUGCCAUAA